This is a long non-coding RNA of Papaver somniferum (opium poppy), 173 nucleotides long. RefSeq lists it as uncharacterized. Lineage: Eukaryota; Viridiplantae; Streptophyta; Magnoliopsida; Ranunculales; Papaveraceae. The transcript has 3 exons. The record is from RefSeq and is a predicted model, not a curated record.
GCGAAGAUUACUGAAAGAUUCAAAUCGCUGCAAGAAAUUCUUCCAAAUUCCGAUCAGGCAAAUAGAGACGACCUCAUGGAUGAUAUCAUCGACUACGUCAAGUACUUACAGCUUCAGAUUAAGUCCUUGAGCCAAAGCACAUUGGAAGACGAAACAACUGACCACAACAACCC